Molecule: ribosomal RNA, 775 nt
Filed under: uncultured Neocallimastigales
Lineage: Eukaryota; Fungi; Neocallimastigomycota; Neocallimastigomycetes; Neocallimastigales
Description: partial large subunit ribosomal RNA
Rfam family: Eukaryotic large subunit ribosomal RNA
Source: RNAcentral
UAUGUGAUCGUCUCUCGCAUAUCAAUAAGCGGAGGAAAAGAAACUAACAAGGAUUCCCCUAGUAACGGCGAGUGAAGCGGGAAGAGCUCAAAUUUGAAAUCUUAAAGGGUUUCCCUUUACGAAUUGUAGUUUAAAGAAGUGUUUUCUGUUGAGGUCUUGGUAAAAGUUCUUUGGAAUAGGACAUCAUAGAGGGUGAGAAUCCCGUAUUUGACCUUUACUUUCAACUUUGUGAUACACUUUCAAAGAGUCGGAUUGUUUGGGAAUGCAGUCCAAAAUGGGUGGUAAAUUUCAUCUAAAGCUAAAUAUUGGCGAGAGACCGAUAGCGAACAAGUACCGUGAGGGAAAGAUGAAAAGAACUUUGAAAAGAGAGUUAAACAGUACGUGAAAUUGUCAAAAGGGAAGCGUUUGACACCAGUGUUGUUUUUCUGAAAAUCAAUUAAAGAACUGUUUAUGCUAAGUUGUUUAGACUUUAUCAGCUAUACUGUUUAGUUUUGAGCUUUUCUUUAAUGCACUUUUCAGUUAACAAGUCAACAUCAAUUUCUUUUGCUGUAAAAAAGCUUGAGGAAGGUGGCUUGAGAUUCGUCUUAAGUGUUUAUAGCCUCUUGCCUAUGCAGUCGGAGAGAUUGAGGUCUGCAGCGUAGAUCCUUCGGGGCUAAAUGCAUUUGUGCUAAGUUAUAGCAUUUUAUAGACAACUUGUUGACUAUGAUUUGUCUUGUAGCUUACUCGCUUAUGUUAUUUUACCUACGCUUAGGAUGUUGAGCGCAUGUCUCUCUCU